Molecule: ribosomal RNA, 250 nt
Filed under: uncultured bacterium
Lineage: Bacteria
Description: partial 16S ribosomal RNA
Rfam family: Bacterial small subunit ribosomal RNA
Source: RNAcentral
AGCCUACGGGAGGCAGCAGUAGGGAAUCUUCCACAAUGGACGAAAGUCUGAUGGAGCAACGCCGCGUGAGUGAAGAAGGGUUUCGGCUCGUAAAGCUCUGUUGGUAGUGAAGAAAGAUAGAGGUAGUAACUGGCCUUUAUUUGACGGUAAUUACUUAGAAAGUCACGGCUAACUACGUGCCAGCAGCCGCGGUAAUACGUAGGUGGCAAGAGUUGUCCGGGUUUAUUGGGCGGAAAGCGAGGGCAGGCGG